GAUGAAGAACGCAGCGAAAUGCGAUAAGUAAUGUGAAUUGCAGAAUUCAGUGAAUCAUCGAAUCUUUGAACGCACAUUGCGCCCGCCAGCAUUCUGGCGGGCGUGCCUGUUCGAGCGUCAUUUCAACCCUCGAGCCCCCCCGGGGGCCUCGGUGUUGGGGGACGGCACACCAGCCGCCCCCGAAAUGCAGUGGCGACCCCGCCGCAGCCUCCCCUGCGUAGUAGCACACACCUCGCACCGGAGCGCGGAGGCGGUCACGCCGUAAAACGCCCAACUUUCUUAGAGUUGACCUCGGAUCAGGUAGGAAUACCCGCUGAACUUAAGCAUAUCAAUAAGCGGAGGA
This 343-nucleotide unclassified non-coding RNA is filed under the name soil metagenome. RNAcentral's name for it is "partial contains 5.8S ribosomal RNA, internal transcribed spacer 2, and large subunit ribosomal RNA". The stretch from base 1 to 120 matches the Rfam family "5.8S ribosomal RNA", at positions 35 to 154 of the family's 154-position model. The record is from RNAcentral.